This 410-nucleotide transfer-messenger RNA is filed under the name Candidatus Saccharimonadota bacterium. RNAcentral's name for it is "Candidatus Saccharibacteria bacterium transfer-messenger RNA". It matches the Rfam family "transfer-messenger RNA". From Rfam's summary of the family: Bacterial tmRNA, also known as 10Sa RNA or SsrA, is named for its dual tRNA and mRNA-like properties. Its role is to liberate the mRNA from a stalled ribosome. RNAcentral also lists the same sequence under 1 other name. Lineage: Bacteria; Candidatus Saccharimonadota. The record is from RNAcentral.
GGGGCUGAAUUUUAAGCUCGACGUUGGUACCUUUCGGUUAUGAUUGCAGGUCGCUUGUCAGCGUUAUAGGCAAAAUUGAAUAGAUGCAAAAUCUUUCAAACAAGCUGUAGCUAGUGUUAAGGCUGGUCUUCAGGGCGUUGCUCUGAACCUCUUUGGCACUCGCGCUACCGCUAAUCUCGUAGCUUAAUCACUACGAAACGCCUUUGACGAUUUCAGAUAGCCAAAGUAGCGUUUUAUAUAUCUGGACGCUCGCGUGAGAGCAUCUGGCUCAUGCGCUAAGAUUAGGAUUGCUCAUUCGGUUUGUUUGUCUGUUUUUAACCCCGAAUGCUAAGACACUAAAAUAGACUAUGCCUGUAGUAUUCUGACCAUACGUCCGACGGACGCGGGGGCGGUACCCGCCAGCUCCACCA